RNAcentral lists this unclassified non-coding RNA (270 nucleotides) under Hevea brasiliensis (rubber tree). Lineage: Eukaryota; Viridiplantae; Streptophyta; Magnoliopsida; Malpighiales; Euphorbiaceae. The record is from RNAcentral.
UGACAUUCCAGAGGAUGGAGAAGAGGCUCCAAAGGGAGAUGCUGCAAACAAAGUGGGUGCAGGCGAGGAUGCGGAGUGAUGAUCCAAACGAGUAGAAUGUACCAUGUGUAUUUGAUUAAAGGAGGCUGGUGAAACAUCUGGUGGAUUGUUUGUCAAGUGCUAAUAGAUAAUUGUAAGGCACCAACAAAUGAAUAGAUACUUGUUUAUUGGAUCCGUCUUGCUGAAGAUUGUUUUCACAUUAAUUGAUGAAUGCAUAUCAUUUGAUUUGCA